GUUGAACGCUGGCGGCGUGCCUAAUACAUGCAAGUCGAGCGAACAGAUGAGGAGCUUGCUCCUCUGACGUUAGCGGCGGACGGGUGAGUAACACGUGGAUAACCUACCUAUAAGACUGGGAUAACUUCGGGAAACCGGAGCUAAUACCGGAUAAUAUAUUGAACCGCAUGGUUCAAUAGUGAAAGACGGUUUUGCUGUCACUUAUAGAUGGAUCCGCGCCGCAUUAGCUAGUUGGUAAGGUAACGGCUUACCAAGGCGACGAUGCGUAGCCGACCUGAGAGGGUGAUCAGCCACACUGGAACUGAGACACGGUCCAGACUCCUACGGGAGGCAGCAGUAGGGAAUCUUCCGCAAUGGGCGAAAGCCUGACGGAGCAACGCCGCGUGAGUGAUGAAGGUCUUCGGAUCGUAAAACUCUGUUAUUAGGGAAGAACAAAUGUGUAAGUAACUAUGCACGUCUUGACGGUACCUAAUCAGAAAGCCACGGCUAACUACGUG
RNAcentral lists this ribosomal RNA (497 nucleotides) under uncultured bacterium. Its description in RNAcentral is "partial 16S ribosomal RNA". It matches the Rfam family "Bacterial small subunit ribosomal RNA", at positions 28 to 507 of the family's 1533-position model. The record is from RNAcentral.